RNAcentral lists this ribosomal RNA (254 nucleotides) under uncultured bacterium. RNAcentral describes it as "partial 16S ribosomal RNA". It matches the Rfam family "Bacterial small subunit ribosomal RNA", at positions 524 to 776 of the family's 1533-position model. The record is from RNAcentral.
UACGUAGGGGGCAAGCGUUGUCCGGAAUCAUUGGGCGUAAAGAGCGUGUAGGCGGCCAGAAAAGUCCGCUGUGAAAACUCGAGGCUCAACUUCGAGCUGUCGGUGGAAACUUUCUGGCUAGAGUCCGGAAGAGGAGAAUGGAAUUCCUGGUGUAGCGGUGAAAUGCGCAGAUAUCAGGAAGAACACCCGUGGCGAAGGCGGUUCUCUGGGACGGUACUGACGCUGAGACGCGAAAGCGUGGGGGAGCGAACAGG